RNAcentral lists this ribosomal RNA (529 nucleotides) under uncultured bacterium. RNAcentral describes it as "bacterial SSU rRNA". It matches the Rfam family "Bacterial small subunit ribosomal RNA", at positions 342 to 870 of the family's 1533-position model. The record is from RNAcentral.
CGGGAGGCAGCAGUGAGGAAUAUUGCGCAAUGGAGGCAACUCUGACGCAGCCAUGCCGCGUGAAGGAAUGAAGGUCCUAUGGAUUGUAAACUUCUUUUAUAUGGGAAGAAACGCAGAUACGUGUAUUUGUUUGACGGUACCAUACGAAUAAGCACCGGCUAACUCCGUGCCAGCAGCCGCGGUAAUACGGAGGGUGCAAGCGUUAUCCGGAUUCAUUGGGUUUAAAGGGUACGUAGGCGGAUAAGUAAGUCAGUGGUGAAAUCCCGAGGCUCAACCUCGGAACUGCCAUUGAUACUGUUUAUCUUGAAUUUGGUUGAAGUGGGCGGAAUACGACAUGUAGCGGUGAAAUGCAUAGAUAUGUCGUGGAACACCGAUAGUGAAGACAGCUCACUAAGCCAACAUUGACGCUGAGGUACGAAAGCAUGGGGAGCGAACAGGAUUAGAUACCCUGGUAGUCCAUGCCGUAAACGAUGAUUACUAGCUAUUGGCGAUACACAGUCAGUGGCAAAGCGAAAGCAUUAAGUAAUCC